GCCUGGGUGGCUCAGUUGUUUAAGCGUCUGACUUCGGUUCAGGUCAUGAUCUCAUUGUCUGUGAGUUCGAGCCCCGCGCCGGGCU
This is a non-coding RNA of Felis catus (domestic cat), 85 nucleotides long. The record is from Rfam. NCBI's taxonomy places the organism in Eukaryota, Metazoa, Chordata, Mammalia, Carnivora, Felidae.